RNAcentral lists this unclassified non-coding RNA (6363 nucleotides) under Hevea brasiliensis (rubber tree). Lineage: Eukaryota; Viridiplantae; Streptophyta; Magnoliopsida; Malpighiales; Euphorbiaceae. The record is from RNAcentral.
CCCAAUUCAUAAUCUUUUAUUUCCUUUAUCACUAAAAUUGCAAGUCAUGAGCCAUUGGUUCAGUGAUUGGCAGAUGACUUUCGGUGCAGAUGACUUUCAGUUAUAAGUUUCUCGCUUUCUUCCCUAUUAAACAAAGGCAGAAGAUGGCUAUAUCAACCACACUGUACAACACUAAUUCUGAAAGCCAACCUGAAUCAAGUUCAAGAUGCGCUUUGCGCGACAAAAGUUCUGUAGACGAAAUUAUAAAAAUUGUUUGAGGAUUUCAGCCAAAAAGAAAAGGUGCUUGAGAUGUGUUCUCAGAUACUAUACAAACAUCACUCACAGGGAUUAAAAAUCAGGUGGAUAUCAUGAGACAUUCCAACUGCCAUAUCCAUGAGUAAAUCAUUCCCAGUGCGCAAUAUAUAGAAAGAAGCAAAAUGGGUACAAAGGGAAGCUUAUCACCAAAGAGGUGAGGAUGCAAAAACUGCCCCCCAUAUUUCAACAGCCAAAAGACCGAGUAGGUAACAUUUACCAACCCACCCAAUAAGGAUUCUUUCUUUUUCAUCAGUGCCACUUGAAGAUCUCAGUGAACCCAAUUGUUCAUCUCUCUUUGCUGAUACUGUCACUUUAGCUGCUGCAUCCUUGUUGAUUUGUGCAGAAAAUCAGUGCCAUAUUAGAAUGGAAUGUAAUAGCAAUAACAGCACUUUCAUAGGAUAUUCCUGAACCUCAUAUAGAAGUGGAAAUAGUGAAAAGCAUAAAACUGCAUAUAAAUAUCCAACAUCAGUUUAUAGAACUGGUGAUGAAAGCCUAAUCAUCUCCCCACCCCCAAAACCUUAAAAAAAAAAAAAAGAGUAUAAAUUGUAUAAGAAUUUCACGCUGGCCUUCUUAAUUCCUUUCCAUGUUGGCUGAGCAUUGAAGUAAUGCACCAAUGCUAGCAAGUGUGAUAUUUUGGGGUUGGGGGUGAGUUCUCAUCUCAAACAAGAUGCUCAUUACAUGAGAAACAAUGUGCUUGUUCGGAAAAUAUAUUGAUGCCUAGAUGAAAAGAAAGGGAAUGGUAAAACAUAUAUAAACCUUAGCACUGAAACAUAGGUCUGGCUGGUAAAAAUUCAAUAAUCAUCACAGAAACUCCCUAUUAUCCUUCAACAGAUACAAUUUUGGCAUGAACUAACAUACCUAGAGCCAGCAAGAAGUAAUGCCUUGCAUCUUCCAAACUAUGCACUGCAACAAGAGCAAAAGGGAUGACAAAGUGGAGUGAUGCCUUUUCAUGAAUAUGCCACCCAAAUAAAAAGCCACAUGUAUAAGCAUAAGCAAUCCAUCUUGCAACCAACCAUGGUUGGGGACUCUUCCAAGCCUUAAAAAGGCAAAGAGAUAAGGCAAGCAAGACCAUAAUGAAGGUUGUCAUGUGGUUGAUCUGCCAUUUGAUUAAUUUUGAGAUAUAAUGUUAUGUCUUUCCAAUGCUUUGAGAAUCAAAUUAGAGAACGACAAAUUAAACAUCAUUAGAGUCAAUUUCAGCUACUAAUUCCAUAAAUGAAUCCCAUCAGUUCAGUAAUCAAUCAAGUUCAAUAGGACCAUCUGUCCAAUAGGCAUUGCUCAGAUGAUCAAAGAUGUGAACAUAAAUGCCUCUCCCUCAUCAGUAGGUCAUAUUGUUCAAAAUCAAUCAAGACCAUUUUGAACACAGCAGCUGCAGUGGGACUUGGGCUGAUAUAUGAAAGACCAAAAAAGGAGAAACAGCAUGUUGAACAUAUUAAAAGUACUUCAGGUAAUACCGCAAAAGGCAGUGAAUCCCCUACCAAGCCACCAGUAAAUGAUGCUGCUGGUGCUUGGACGUUCAAUCCAAGUUUUCUGAGCAAGAUAUCUAACCCUUUAUCUGAUAUAAUAUAAAAUACCCAAAAAUUUGGGGCCCAGUAUGCAUGGCAAAGUCCCCUGCCAAAAGGAAACAUGCGGCUGAUAACUUGUUGUAUCUGUCCAUGAUACAAAAAUGGACCAUAUGCAGCAGCAAAAACCACCAUGACGACAAUCCCCAUAGAUAUAAGCUGCCAAAAACCUCUUAACAAACCUUUCCAACAAUAAUGCCUCAACAAGUACACAAAAUAAACUGGUGCAGCCACAGCAAACAAGUGCUUAAAACAUAAUAAAAUCGCAAAAAAGAAGCCACCCAUCAAAUCCCUCCCUUCUUGCAAGUAGGAGAUGGACAACAUCAAUAGCCCUAGCAAAAACCCAUUGUACUGGAAAUGCAUAGAGUCCACCACUAUAAGGCCUGGGGACCAAACCACCAAUAAACACAUUAAAGUUCUCUUUCUGAACUCCAAAUUCUUAGUCAAUCUAUAAACACCAUAUAAAAGACACAAAUCUGAGACAAUCACGCUGAUCCUUUGGAAAUAGACUACUGUGUUUGAUUUAUAAUUGAGGCCUCUGUGGAUGUCAACUAUUUGGGGGUCAAUCAAAUGGGCAAAGAAGGAGAGAAUGCAUUCAUAAUAGGCAAAGAAUGGAGGGUAAUCAAGAGUCCAUGGGCUAGACUCUUCAAAGUACCACUGACGGAGAGGGAGUGAGUGGGUUAAAGCGAGCCAAUGUCGAUGGACCUCAAAGUCUGUGCUGUGGUAUGAUGGGAUCAGUAGGAGCUUUAUGCAUGCUGCUAUGCCAAAGAACCACAAAAGCUGCUGUGUGUUGGUGGAUCUCUCAUGCAUUUGGAGCUUUUGGCCUUCCAUGGUUGAAACUGAUUAGCUAAGAUAAAAAAUGCGGGCAGCGAGAAUCCCGUAACUAGCCUAUGGAUCAAUAUGUGAAUCCAAUAAUUGCUUGUCAAUGUUAUCCACGCCAAAAGUCAAAAUCAAUGUAUUCAGAAAAUUAGUAAACUGGGAGGCAGAGGUGUAGGAAACUUUUCAAUUGCUUCAAAAGUGCCUUCUCAGUCUGCAUCAAGAAGUGAUACUAAAUGGAAAAAAAAAAAAGGAAGAUAAAAAUUCUAUAAAUGAUAAGACAAUACAUUGUUUGGUUACAGAGAAAGCAAAAGAACACAAAAUGAACUUAGUAUAUUGAUUUGCAUUCAAAGUUGUUCCGGUAAAAAUAAUAAACAUCUGGAUUCUGGAAUGAAUAAAGCAUGCCCCGGUUAUGUCUAGUUUCCUUUUUCUCUUCUCUUCUUUUCUUUUCUUUUCUUUUUCCCAAAAUCAAUAAUGUCCUGAAGAAAAGGUUUUCUUCUUUUCUUUUUUCCACUUAAUUAAAAUCUAGCGUUUUCGAAGCCGUGCAGAUCGCUGACUUUAUUCAACGACUUCUUCAUCAGGGCUACCUUAGCCAGCUUUUCAGCCGCUCUCCAAGCUGAAGUAGGCGUGAGCGGCUCUCCAUUCUCGUCAAUCAUAACCAUUGUCUCCCUCUCGCUUCCUCUCCGCCGUUGGAUCAUCAUCUGCUGCUGGUGCUGCUCUAGCCGAUGCUGUUUAAUCCGUUGUAACUCCGCAAGCUCAGCCUCUAACCCUCUAACGUACUCAUCAGCGCAUAUGGAGCUGGAUUGUAAUAUCAGAGCCCGAGACGAUGCCAGCAAGUGGUGCGCGCUUGUGAAAUCGUUGUGCACCACCAGUCUUCGAGUUUCGGCUAUGGCCCGAGUGGUGAGGAAAUGAUUCCUCAGACGUUCGAUUUUGGGUGCCGAAGAUCGCACGGCGUGAGGACGGGGGACGAGUAGGGCCCGAUCGCGGCCGUAUACAACCUCCUGGGUGGCGGGGUCCUUGUAAAGGCAACGAACAGAUAUCACGUGGUGGAACCCAACAGCUGAAGAUGGGACCCUCAACUCCACCAACAAUUCCCUCUCUUCUUCCGCGUACAAAUCGCCUAGCCGCACCGAGCCAGAGCUGAGAACGGUGGGCCUAGCGUUGCACGAAUACACGGCUAAUAUCUCAGCUGGCGCUGAGCCGGAAGCAAAGCUAAGCUGAACUCUCAAGUCUUGUACUACCACACUCAGCAAACCACCCACGCAUUUAGCAAACGCGUCCUCAGCCGGCUCGUGGCUGUAGCCGCCGCUUUGACCAAACCCAAACGCAUGAACUGGGAUCUCAAUAUGAGCAAAUCGGGUGGACGAAACAUGGCCUGAGGCAUGCCGUUGAUUCCCAGUAUUGCUUUGGACUCUUUCAUCCUGACCGUCGGAUAGCAGUAUGAUGCUCGCAACUGGAUUCCGUUCUCUCCUGUCUUCGAGAACCUUACUUGCUUUCCUCAAAGCAUCUCCUACGCUGGUCCCUUGACCACACACGAGACGGUCAAUGAUGCGGCGAGCCGACCGCUGGCCGUGAGCCGUCAUUCUCCUCAGAGGUAACAACCUCUUAGGACUGGACGAGAAAGCCACAAUCGAUAGCCGAUCAGCCGAGCCGAGAGACGAAAUCACCAAUCUCAUGGCGCGUUUAAGCAUCUGCAAUUUAGCUCCAGUCAUGCUUCCACUUACAUCAAGAACCGUGACCAAAUCAACUGGCGCCCGAUGCAAAGGGUCCAAAAGCGGUGCCGUAUUGCUACUGCGUGCCUGUUGUGGCGGUGGUGGCGCUUUCACCCUCAAUGCCACCGCAUAAGUUUCAUAGCCACGGCCCACGGAAACAACAGCAGCUUCGGGUAACAGUCUGACCUGAACAUUUCUGGAAUCACUGGUGCCAUUGAGCGUAACAUCAUCUGAUUUGAUUGAAGAAUGGGUAGGAUUAACGAAGAAUCCUUGAAAUUCCUCGACAUCGUCAUCUUCCCCUUCUUCGGCAUUCUCAUCGGCUUCAGGAAUCGGAAUAAAUCUUCCACCGGCAGUUGGAGAAAGCAAUGGCUCAUCAUCAUCAUAGGAUCUCGAAUCAGAGGUUUUUGGAUUUAGAGAUACUGGCUGGGGUUCGUGUCUUGGGGUGGUCUUAAUGGCUCUGGGUGAAGAUUCGACCACCAAAACUUUUUUUCUCUUCAAGUUUGGGCUGCUUGUCGCUGUUGGAAUUGUUAUCGGCAUUGGUGUUCUGAACGGCGUCAUUUUGUGGGUGAAGAUUCUUGUGGAUGGCGAGUAAAGGAACAUCUUUCCAGGUAGAGUUGCAGACGGGGCACACAAGGCUGCCAUGCUUACGGACAUGGGCGGCUAUACAAGGGAAGUGAAAAGCGUGUGCGCAUUCUGCUGUGUAUAUUGCCGUGCCCUGACCUGUCUUCACGCUAUUCAAACAGAUUCCGCAGCUACUCCUGAAUUUGAAGCUAUUCUUGAAGAGGGACAGCUUAAGAGGAGAUCGAGGAGAGGAUGGGUUUGAACUCUUAGCUGCUCUGGGUGUGGUUUUGCAAUGGAGCACGGGACUUUCAUUCGUGGAAGGUGGUUCCGAAGUAUUACUUGUAGUUCGGCAACGUAAGCUUGGGCUAGAGAUGGGCUGCGACCGUAGGCGAGGCGUGGCGGGGUUGGUUCCACCAGAGAGGAACCCUAGCUUGGCACAGCUUCUGGGGAUUGGGCUACGACUAGGACUUGUUUGUUGUUUGUCUGAAAUUGAGGUAAUAUCUGGGUCUCUAGGAAUGGUAGUGCAAAAGGCUCUUCUCCAACCUGUACCCAUUAUGAGUGAGUGACCAAAGCAAAGACUCCCUUUUUGCCUUUCUUUUUUGCUGCCGCUGAAUCUUUAUGUAUCUGUUUCUAUAUAUCUCCACCUUUCCUUAUGUUUCGUAGAGGUGGAGAAGAUAAAGAAAAAGUUUUGUUUUGAUCGAUCUGAGGUUGCCACAGAAGACAAAAGCGCAGAAUCAGAUUCAGCAAUAAGAGCAUGGGAUCAAACGAAAAGAGAAGCAAAGAGACAAAGAAGUGGGAUUUAAGAGAGAAAGAACCCAAUACACAGAACUUUCUUUCUAUUUCUAUUUCUCUUUUGCUCUCAUUUCUUAUUUCGACUUUCUAUCCUAUACUGUUCUCUCCAUGGAUAACCCCAAAAAGAUGUCUGGCAACCUAAAGGCUUGAGAUCUACUGCUUCUCUUUCUCUGUGUUUGAUAUAAAACAGUUUCGCUUUGAAAUAUAUAUUCCUUGGAAAUGGUAAAUAAGGACUUUACCCUUGUCACCGGCACGUGUUGGUUUAUUUUUUACGUUGCCGGUCAACGUUUCAGCCACCCUGUAUACCACGUUUUAGCCACCGACCUUUACACUGGUCACCAUCUCGUGCAUGCUCCCAUACUCUUUUAAGAAUCUCGUUUCACGCGCCCUGCAGGGAUAACUUCACGUGAUUCUUCGUGGAUAGUCAAUGCGUGGCGUUCACAUUCAUAACUGCGUGUGGAAACAGAACUGGAACUGUCGCGCUUGUCUCUCUCGUUCAUGCAUGAUACGGCUUGGUAGUUGCUCCUGAUAAUUAUCCGGCGCGGUCAAGAGCAUUAUUUGAAAUUUGUAAUCACCAAUGUCAUCCGUUCAUCGUUAUUUAUCAAUUAUGUUUCGAUUUUAAAAUAAAU